GGGAGGAGGGGCUACGGGGCGGGGCGAGGGCGCGGUAAAUGGCGCUCUGAGUACUUUCUGUCUCAGUCCGGCUGGCCGCUCACGCGUCGGGCCCCCAUUUACUCUCGUUACUGAGGAGACACGGCUCCAGUUUUGACCCGACUACGGUUGUUUUCUUCGUGUGUACCGCGAAAUGCUGAUGACGUCCGGUUCCGCGCAGUUUUUUUCCUAUUUCGUUUCCAACCACAGUUGUGCGGUUCACAGAUUUUUCCCUUGGGAUGUGUUUUCCAUACCUCCAAGCCCACUCUCAGAGCCUUGGGGCCCCAUAAAACUUCAUGCGCAGCUGCUUUCUGGUAUUUGCAGACCUGGAAGGCUUCUCGUAUUCUUAAUUUGGGGAAGAGAGACAUAGGUUUCCUUGUACAACGGGAUGAGGAUUUAAGAGCAGAACGACACUGAUAUUUUAAAGGCGAGGGUAUUUAGAUUUGUGGAGCUGAAACUUGCCUGAAAAGGGAGACAAAAUUUGGAAGUUUGUUGUGUGCAGUUUCUGCCCCUUACCCCCGCCCUUCACUUUUAAACUGCGCAUAUAUCAACAAUAGUUACGGUUGUUGCAGCAGUCUAAAUUUGAUUAUCAGAAUUGACCCUAGGCAUGAAUUUUUUUUUAAAUAUACCAAUGUCGUGUUAUAUACACUUAUACCAUUAUGUCCAGACUUCUCUUAAGCAUAGUUCGUGGUGGGCAGUUUUGUGGUCAUUUAGGGAUGAACUUGGGUAGGGAAAGCUGAGCAUACAUAAUUUAUUUUAGGAAUGCACCAGUUCUGCCAACAUUUAUCAGAAGUCACGUUUUUAAAAAGCUAUUCUGGAACUGAAGAUGUCAUUGGUUUAUAAGAGGAAAAUGGAAGCCAAAAGCUUACACCUCAUGCUCUAUCUUUAAAAAUUAAGGUGGCAGACACAAUGAGUAGAAGGCUUUUAUGUUACCAGAAUGAAGGCUUAAAAUCUGUCAUUUUAUUGACUCGGCUUUCUUUUUAGAAAUUUCUUUAAGAUAUAAAAGCAAUGUGGAAUAUCACUCUUUCACACUCUUAAAAUAGAUUACGUUCUCUGGAACUUCUCUAAUCUGAAAUGUGUUCAAAAAGGAAAAAGAUCUUUAAAAUACGCCAGUUAGUCUAUGGUAUAAUAUUAAACACUAUUCAUCACUAGAGAAGUUAUGGUGGUAUACCCUCCCCUUUCUCAGAUGUCCACCUUAAUGCCAGAAAUGAGCGGAGUUUCCCUUUGUUGUGCAAAAUGACUGUGUCCUUGAGGGAUGUUUGGAUGCUCUUGGUAAACCGGAAUCAGCCAGAAGCAUAUCCGGUGUUAGCCUUGUUGUGUCAUCAACAUUACAACAGUGAGGAAACCCACAUAUUCCAAUGAAAGAGGAAAACUUAAAGAAGAAGUUUCCAGUGUAUUUUCUUUGAGAUAUAUUUAUUCCUAUGACCUCAGAAGAUCAGCUUUUACCGUCCAAGGUUCACUUUGCCUAAAAGCUGAUUGUUCCUGUGGAAACAGUAGCAUCGGAUGACCCUACAAACAAAGCAUUAUGACAUCAUCAGAGCCAACAACCUGGCAUGACAGAUACUAAUAAGGAAAAAAGAGGUUACAAGAAUUCUGACACUCAUCACAGUGGAUCCAAUAUCUGGUCCCUUGGGUUUCAUAUAUGUUAGAAGUAUCUUCUCAGGAGGGAAAAGUCAAUGCCAGUCAUAUCCUUUCUAGCUAUUAGAAAUGUCCAUCAGCUUACGAGGAGAUUCUCCCUCAUCUCACAAACUACCUGCAUCUCCACUUCCCUGGAAGAAAAAAAAAAUCUGGACAUACCCAAGCUGUGUAUGUGCCUGAGAUCUUCCCUUCCAAGUGAUUUAUUAAACUGGGAAGUCAGAAGCAGUCCUGUGAACAUUUGUUUGUUGAAGCAUGAAAAGGCAGAAUUGAUGAGUCCUUGCUUGAGUCUAUGCCUCCACCCAGUAGUUUGUUCUUAGUCUCCUAGGGGCUGAUCUCAGCAGAGAAAUGGAGACAGUUCAGUCACCAACAGUUUGUUACUGGAUUUUGGAAAAGGUACCAAAGUAAGAAUCCAAGGCUUGUAUUCUUAUCUUAGCUCUGUGAUUAACAAGCUUAGGUAAGGCUUCUAAUCUUUCUGGGUUUCUUUCCUUAUCAAUAAAAUGCGCAAGUCAGACUGCAUAAUCUUUAUGGUUUCUUCCAAAUUUCAAAUUCCAUGCAUCUAUUAAAGAGAAUCAAAAUUGUGCAUGAUUUGUCUAAAAUACCAUGUUAAAAAGUCUAAGAUAAAAUGAAAUGGGAAUUACAUACCAUUUUGAGUUUAAAAAUCACUUUUGUAAAUAUAUUAAGGAAUGAACUUGGUUUUAUUGCAAUUUAUGUAGAAAUACUGGGAAGUAGAGGGGGCUUUGAUUAACAAUUUUAAAAUGCUGAUGCAAUCCAGUCGAAAUAUAGAUGGGAUUUCAUAAAGUAGCAAAAAUUCUAUAUUCAUAAUUCAGAGUGAUAACAAAUGCAUAUCUAUAAAGCAAAAGUGUGUUUUUAAAAGUAAUUUUAAAUCCCAGUCAUUUCAUUUAAGUCUUCUAAUAAAGGAUGAAGAAGAUGAACAAAAUAAC
Molecule: long non-coding RNA, 2597 nt
Filed under: Homo sapiens (human)
Lineage: Eukaryota; Metazoa; Chordata; Mammalia; Primates; Hominidae
Description: long independently transcribed non-coding RNA 1617 (LINC01617)
Source: RNAcentral